Molecule: long non-coding RNA, 1593 nt
Organism: Anser brachyrhynchus (Pink-footed goose)
Lineage: Eukaryota; Metazoa; Chordata; Aves; Anseriformes; Anatidae
Source: Ensembl
AGGAGUAAAGGUUGUAGUUGAAGGAUAUGCAUUUAAAAAUUUGAAUAAGGUUUUGGAUAUUGACUUGAAACAAGUUUAGAUGUUAGUGGUUGGUUACAUGUAUUAAUGUGGUCAACUAAUUGUACAACUGACUCUGUUCAGUGGAAAGAAAGUAAAUAGGACCUAAUAAUAUUUAAUAUUUAGUUUAUUUAAUAUUUGAUUAAAUAUUUUAAAUAUUAUUUUCCAACUAAACCCACAUUUGAAACAUUGCAAUUUCUUUUGCAACGCAGUGGGUACAGUCUAGCUGUUGUCCUUGCCUCCUUCUGUCACAGACGUAAGAAUUGGCUGGGGUUGGACAAAGUCUGCCAAGAGAUGAUCUUUGUUGCAUGGCAUCAGUUUGUCAGAGAUGAAAUACGUGGUGGUAGGGAUUUGCUUUCAGUGAUGUUCUGCUGCAACACUGUUCAAAACCUGCCUUUCUUCCAGCAGAUCAGUGACGUGGUUCCCCAGCGGGAUGUUGGAUGUGCCAACCUGAAGGAUGACGCCUGGUUUCUAAGCUCCCAUCUGCUCUCCAUGGUAUGUUUAAAACUCAGCUCAGUGCUGUGUUCAGCUCAAUUCUCUUGUGCUGGCCAACAAGAAGGGUAAGUGUAGGAGUGAGAAAGAGCAGCAGAGCAUAAAAUAAUUUCUCUUGGUCAUGGAGCUAAUUCAUGGAGGCUUAAAGUGUUUCUAAGGCUGCAGCUCUGGCUAAAUGGAAAUCUAUUGCCAGCCAGAGAUAUGCUCUGUUUGUCCCUUGAAAUGCAUGAGGGCAGAAUUCAAAGUGCCUUCCAUAGCUUGAAUCAAAGCAAUGUAGGCUGGGAAAGUCAUCCCCCCUUUCUGAGAUCAGUCUCAGAUCUGACAGAGAUUCCUCUUACUUAGUUGUCUGCAGCCUUUCAAAAUUUGUGUAUGAUAAAUAUUUUCUAAUAGACACAUGGAUCCCGGGCAGUGAAUUGAAUCCCCUUGACAAUAGAUUUGUUUUGCUCAGUUUGCUUCUGCAAAUGCAUUAAAAGGAGUCCAUCAGUCAUUUCAGAUCCAGAUUUGUUGGUUGCAGACCAAUGAUCCAAUUUGUUCUUGAAUUCUGCGCUGAGGAUUAUGUGUGUGCAGGAGCUAUGCGACUGGAGAACUAAGUGAGCAAUUUGUGAGUGGAAGAGGAAGAUUAAAAUCUGCUGAUAUUUCAGAGAGGAAGUGGUGUAAAAUCUUUGUGAUCAUUUAAGCAUCCCUAGGAAAUGUGAGCUUAUUCCUGAUGUAGCUGGUCUUUGAAACUGCUUGUCGGAAAAUGGCUGAGAGUUGGGAACACGCGGCUGGAUGGGAACAAUUCGCUGAUUAAAUGCAGCAGGUAGCAUGUGCUAACCGGGAGAAAACGAGGUUCGUGUGUAACAACCUCCAUUUACAAGCCCCCCACGUAUGCACGGAUGCACACGACCUGAUUCUCCACUUACCCUCAGUAUAAAUCGGUGUAACAGCAGUAUAACAGCAGUAUAACAGCAGCGUAAAUGGGGGUCAGCUUUCCAAAUCCACCUUAAUUACAGCAUCCCGAGCAAGGAGGAAAAUAAAUACAACUAAAACCGGGGCUGAAAAACA